RNAcentral lists this ribosomal RNA (484 nucleotides) under uncultured bacterium. RNAcentral's name for it is "partial 16S ribosomal RNA". It matches the Rfam family "Bacterial small subunit ribosomal RNA", at positions 29 to 507 of the family's 1533-position model. The record is from RNAcentral.
AUUGAACGCUGGCGGCAUGCUUUACACAUGCAAGUCGAACGGCAGCGCGGGCUUCGUCCUGGCCGCGAGUGGCGAACGGGUGAGUAAUGCAUCGGAACGUGCCCAGUAGUGGGGGAUAGCCCGGCGAAAGCCGGAUUAAUACCGCAUACGACCUGAUGUUGAAAGCGGGGGACCGAAAGGCCUCGCGCUAUUUGAGCGGCCGAUGUCGGAUUAGCUAGUUGGUGAGGUAAAGGCUUACCAAGGCGACGAUCCGUAGCUGGUCUGAGAGGACGACCAGCCACACUGGGACUGAGACACGGCCCAGACUCCUACGGGAGGCAGCAGUGGGGAAUUUUGGACAAUGGGGGCAACCCUGAUCCAGCCAUGCCGCGUGCGGGAAGAAGGCCUUCGGGUUGUAAAGCGCUUUUGUUCGGGAAGAAAUCCUCUGGGCUAAUACACCGGGGGGAUGACGGUACCGGAAGAAUAAGCACCGGCUAACUACGUG